UACGUAGGUGGCAAGCGUUAUCCGGAAUUAUUGGGCGUAAAGAGCGCGCAGGUGGUUAAUUAAGUCUGAUGCGAAAGCCCACGGCUUAACCGUGGAGGGUCAUUGGAAACUGGUUGACUUGAGUGCAGAAGAGGGAAGUGGAAUUCCAUGUGUAGCGGUGAAAUGCGUAGAGAUAUGGAGGAACACCAGUGGCGAAGGCGGCUUCCUGGUCUGCAACUGACACUGAGGCGCGAAAGCGUGGGGAGCAAACAGG
Molecule: ribosomal RNA, 253 nt
Filed under: uncultured bacterium
Lineage: Bacteria
Description: partial 16S ribosomal RNA
Rfam family: Bacterial small subunit ribosomal RNA
Source: RNAcentral